AUUGAACGCUGGCGGCAGGCUUAACACAUGCAAGUCGAGCGAGCGGCGGACGGGUGAGUAAUGUAUGGGAAACUGCCUGAUGGAGGGGGAUAACUACUGGAAACUGUAGCUAAUACCGCAUACCCUCAGAUGUGCCCAGCUGGGAUUAGGUAGUAGGUGAGGUAAUGGCUCACCAAGGCGACGAUCCCUAGCUGGUCUGAGAGGAUGACCAGCCACACUGGAACUGAGACACGGUCCAGACUCCUACGGGAGGCAGCAGUUGGGAAUAUUGCACAAUGGGCGCAAGCCUGACGCAGCCAUGCCGCGUGUGUGAAGAAGGCCUUCGGGUUGUAAAGUACUUUCAGUGAGGAGGCGUUACCCACAGAAGAAGCACCGGCUAACUCCGUGCCAGCCGCCGCGGUAAUUC
This 406-nucleotide ribosomal RNA is filed under the name uncultured bacterium. RNAcentral's name for it is "partial 16S ribosomal RNA". It matches the Rfam family "Bacterial small subunit ribosomal RNA", at positions 30 to 526 of the family's 1533-position model. The record is from RNAcentral.